UACGUAGGGGGCAAGCGUUAUCCGGAUUUACUGGGUGUAAAGGGAGCGUAGACGGCGAUGCAAGCCAGAUGUGAAAGCCCGGGGCUCAACCCCGGGACUGCAUUUGGAACUGUAUAGCUAGAGUGUCGGAGAGGCAGGCGGAAUUCCUAGUGUAGCGGUGAAAUGCGUAGAUAUCUGGAGGAACAUCAGUGGCGAAGGCGGCCACCUGGACCGGUAUUGACGCUGAGGCGCGAAAGCGUGGGGAGCAAACAGG
This 253-nucleotide ribosomal RNA is filed under the name uncultured bacterium. RNAcentral's name for it is "partial 16S ribosomal RNA". It matches the Rfam family "Bacterial small subunit ribosomal RNA", at positions 524 to 776 of the family's 1533-position model. The record is from RNAcentral.